UACGUAGGGGGCAAGCGUUGUCCGGAUUUACUGGGUGUAAAGGGUGCUCAGGUGGACUUUUAAGUCAGAGGUGAAAUCCCAAAGCUUAACUUUGGAGCUGCCUUUGAUACUGAAAGUCUAGAGUUUGAGAGAGGGCAAUGGAAUAUCUGGUGUAGCAGUGAAAUGCGUAGAUAUCAGAUAGAACACCAAUGGCGAAGGCAGUUGCCUGGCUCAAAACUGACACUAAAGCACGAAAGUGUGGGGAGCGAACAGG
RNAcentral lists this ribosomal RNA (253 nucleotides) under uncultured bacterium. Its description in RNAcentral is "partial 16S ribosomal RNA". It matches the Rfam family "Bacterial small subunit ribosomal RNA", at positions 524 to 776 of the family's 1533-position model. The record is from RNAcentral.